UUUGGCACAUACAAAGUUCCGUUGGUAAUUAUUUCGAUCUAUCGUUUGUAGAUAUCCGAGCGUUCGAUAUACAAUAAACACUAUUAUUGAUACUUCAAAUCGGUAUAUUCUCCUAUCAUUCGACCUAUAGCAUCAUUGAGAUUGUACACUUAAUUAUCACAAUGUUCAUGAAUGAUGUACUUUGGUGAAUCAUAAAAUAACAUAUUGCCGGCUAAGACUGGUUCCAUUGAUUCCAGCAAUGGAUCAUCAACACCAAAAUCAAAUUGCUUGAAAAAGUCAUGACAUGCCCCCUCUAAGUUCCUAUAUAAACCAAACCACCAAAGCCCUUCACAUUCAUCCUCACCACAACAACAAACCCUAGCUACUCUUUGAAAAGAAGUCCUAACUUGGUGAGGAUUAGAUCAAAAGUUCUCCCAAAUAUGGCCAAUGUUUGGCCAAACUUGCUAUACGGCGUGGCUCUAUGCUUGUUAGCAUCCACCAUUAGUGUAGAGGCUGAUGAUAAGCCUUACUAUUACUCAUCUCCCCCUCCGCCGUAUUAUUACAGUUCGCCUCCUCCUCCGAUGAAGUCUCCCCCACCACCGUAUUAUUACAUUUCGCCUCCUCCACCUAAGAAGUCUCCUCCGCCACCGUAUUACUACAAUUCGCCUCCUCCACCUAAGAAGUCUCCACCGCCACCAUAUUACUACAGUUCACCUCCUCCUCCUAAGAAGUCUCCCCCACCGCCGUAUUACUACAGUUCGCCACCUCCUCCGAAGAAAUCUCCUCCACCUCCUUACUAUUACAAGUCUCCACCGCCGCCAUCGCCACACCCACCGCCGCCUUAUUACUACAAGUCUCCACCACCGCCAUCUCCUUCUCCUCCACCACCAUAUUAUUACAAGUCACCGCCACCACN
Molecule: long non-coding RNA, 895 nt
Filed under: Linum usitatissimum (flax)
Lineage: Eukaryota; Viridiplantae; Streptophyta; Magnoliopsida; Malpighiales; Linaceae
Description: long non-coding RNA (LUSI_LNC008290)
Source: RNAcentral